Molecule: ribosomal RNA, 565 nt
Filed under: uncultured bacterium
Lineage: Bacteria
Description: partial 16S ribosomal RNA
Rfam family: Bacterial small subunit ribosomal RNA
Source: RNAcentral
UUAGGAAUAUUGGACAAUGGGCGCAAGCCUGAUCCAGCCAUGCCGCGUGAGUGAUGAAGGCCUUCGGGUUGUAAAACUCUUUAGCCGAUGAUUAUAAUGACUGUAGUCGGAAAAUAAGCCCCGGCUAACUUCGUGCCAGCAGCCGCGGUAAAUACCGAAGGGGGCGAGCGUUAUUCGGAAUCACUGGGCGUAAAAGCGUGCGUAGGCGGUUUAGUAAGUUAGGAGUGAAAGCCCAGGGCUUAACCUUGGAAUUGCUCUUAAAACUACUAGACUUGAAUCUCGGAGAGGAUAGCGGAAUUUCCAGUGUAGCAGUGAAAUGCGUAGAUAUUGGAAGGAACACCAGUGGCGUAAGCGGCUAUCUGGACGAGUAUUGACGCUGAGGCACGAAAGCGUGGGGAUCAAACAGGAUUAGAUACCCUGGUAGUCCACGCCGUAAACGAUGUGUGCUUGUCGCUGGGGAGUUCACUCUUCGGUGACGCAGCUAACGCGUUAAGCACACCGCCUGGGGAAGUACGGCCGCAAGGUUAAAACUCAAAGGAAUUGACGGGGUCAUAGCUGUUUCCUG